Ailuropoda melanoleuca (giant panda) is the source of this 105-nucleotide small nuclear RNA. Lineage: Eukaryota; Metazoa; Chordata; Mammalia; Carnivora; Ursidae. The record is from Ensembl.
GUGCUCGCCUGGGCAGCACAUGUACUGAAAUUGGUUGGCACAGAGAAGAUCAGCGUGGGCCCUGCACAAGAUGACAGGCAAAGUCAUGAAGCAUUCCAUGUUUUA